Long non-coding RNA from Acinonyx jubatus (cheetah), 638 nucleotides. RefSeq lists it as uncharacterized. The transcript is spliced from 3 exons. NCBI's taxonomy places the organism in Eukaryota, Metazoa, Chordata, Mammalia, Carnivora, Felidae. The record is from RefSeq and is a predicted model, not a curated record.
GGAAGGGGAAAUGGGAAGUGACUAAUGUGCACAGGGUUUCUUUUUGGGGUGAUGAGACUGUUCUGGAAUUAGACAGUGGUGAUGGCUGCACAACUUGGUGAACACAUUAAAAGCCACUGAAUUGUACACUUUAAAAGCAUGAAUUUUAUGGCAUGGGAAUUGCAUCUCAAGGAGGGGGAGAGGGAGGAGAUAAAUCUGGGAUCUGAAGAAGCACAACAUUUAAAGACUGUGGAAGAGAGUGUCCCCGGGAGGAGGAGACUAGGAGAGAGUGAGCCAAGAGGUAGAAAGAAAGCCAGAGAUAGAGGCUGUCAGUGGAGGCCGAAGGAGUGUUGUUUCAAAAGGAGGAAUGGGAAUCUGUGAAGUUUGCCGAGAGGCAAGGAGGAGGAAGAGUGAAAGCAGUCACUUCAGCAGCCGAGGACAAGAUAGGGUGGUGACUGAAUCCUAGGGAUGUAGCAUGAGGACAGGCCUGUGACUAUACAAGUGAGGAUGUUGUUCCGCACAGGCGAGAACCACUGGUCCAUUACGGCGCCUGCCUCAUCCAGAGCUGAGAGGCCCAGGGUCACCCGGCGCCGCCGGAGGGCAGCCACACCCAGAAUUCCAGCCCCGCACUUCGCGCCAGCUCCCCACGGCGGCGGCCU